This 2310-nucleotide ribosomal RNA is filed under the name Triticum aestivum (bread wheat). Its description in RNAcentral is "partial small subunit ribosomal RNA". The record is from RNAcentral. Lineage: Eukaryota; Viridiplantae; Streptophyta; Magnoliopsida; Poales; Poaceae.
GCAUCGGCACCUUUGCCUCCUCCUCUACCGGUCUACCAUCCCCAUCUUCACGCCCAACUCGUUGUGCACCACUUGACCUGUGUCACUCGAUUCAUCUUCUUCUCCUCAACUGCAGGGCUCUGCAGCCCUCUCUCCCCCGCACUACCAUCACCUCCACCUAAUGCACCAGCGCAUGUCGCAUAUAGCACUAGCAGCAGCCGGCAGAAGCAUUGGCUUGGUCACAUUCGCCGGACUUACUCUCCUUCAUCGGCUAUGGGACAUGGGCCGAGCAGAGGUUCCGAUCCAUUGCCGCCCACCAGAUUGUCGAGGAGCUCAAGUGAAUCAGGCUACGUGCACGCCGUUUUCUCUCCUCCAGGCCCUCCUCGCGUAGGCGGCAUCGGAUGCGCAGGACGCAGCCAUCCCUGUCGCGACCCCGAUCUGUACGAGAAUUUCGAGUUCCCGCGGGAAGGAGAAGCUCACCGGGAUAGUGGUCUACCACGAGCGCCGCGUGUUUCUCUGCUGCAAGGGCCUUGACAAGUGCCGAGUCUGGCCGGCUCCUUGCUGCCGCCAUCAAAGCCCCCAAGCCUGUCCUGAAGAAAGCGUGAGCAUCUCUUCUCCUUCUCCCUCUCCCUCAAUUUGCUUUUUGAUUCGCUUGAUUUGGUGUUCUGAUGUGGUAGCUGUAUGCUUCUGCUAUGGUAGUGUUAUUUGGUUAUGUGUCUAGGAUGUUUAAAUUUCACAUGAUUAGGAUAUUAUAUGUUUCAUUACAUCUACAUAUGGAGGAACUGAGCUCUGCAUCGGAGCUUUGCCUUCUGACAGUACGUACGUCAUCUUGCUCUAGCACAUCGGCUUAAUGUACUGAUGCCACCGGUGGCGACCUUGGGUUCUGAUUGAGGCGUCAGCCAAGGACCAGGGAAUGCCAGUUCCUAAGUUUGGUAAAGUAAGUUCUGUUCAAUUUAGUUUUUCAUCAUGCUCGACCUUUUGGGCUGAAGUCGUAGGCAGCAAUACCCAACAAAGAUGGUCGCCUUUUAUACCCCUGAAAUUCGGUAAGUUUUUACAGGUUUCCUGUCGGCUGCUUAUAUUCAGAGCAAGUAACCACACGAUCUUCCAUCGGCAACUGCACACCAUUAUGUUUUAGGACGAUAUUUAAUCUGCUUCUUUCACAUUCAGUAUUCUACAGACAACUACUGGUGCAAUGAGGUUCAACCAUGUUUUUUGCCACCGUAUGUCUUGAUGGUACUGGCAUGGACACUAAAUGUGCAACUCACAUCUAAUAAUUAGUAUUUCAUAGUUCAUAGCGCUGAAUAGAAUAUUGUGGAUAUUACAUCUAUGUAUCUUAUCACUUGCUCUCUUUUUUUGCCAGCCUGUAUCAGACUGGUUAUUGCCAUUUCAAUAUACUUUGCGGCUUAAUUUUUUCAUCAUGCUAUAAGAAGCUUCAGUUGGAUGUUUUUGAGCUAGGAGUUCCAAAUAUUUUUUUUGCAGCUGCUAUGGAAACAAGUCCCCCAUCAGUUGAUCUCAGCUUAGGGUAAAUGAGGUGUCAGAUCCAUAAUGCAAGCUUCAUCAAAGGUCAUCCAAAUUUGGCUAGAGGAACCGCUCAGGAUAUUUUACAAAUUACUAUUGCAGUUCCACUCCGAUUAUGGAGCAUGAGAUGUUAUCUCCAGAGACAGCAAAAAAAGACCUUGUGACAAGAUCACAUAAUAAAUGACACAAUAUUGAGUGUGCAAGGACAAGGGAAGAGUCAAUUUGAUGAGGACAUCAAUACCAUUGUUACACCCACAACCCCUACUACUAUACAUACUGGACCGAUUUCUAGAGCUCGCGCACGCCAAUUAAAUUACCAGGACCUAGCUUGGACAAGGAUGAACAUUGGAUCAAGGACAAGCAUGCAGUUGAUGGCAUGCGCAAGGAAGACAAGAACAGAGUUUCAAGUGAUGAUUUCAGGACUUUAAAGCCAUCAUAAUGAGUGCAUGAAGCCUUGAACGAAAUAUACAAGAUGCCACUUCAUAUUUUUUGUCCAGAGGCUAUUCUAGGUGCUGCGUUAUCUUAUUUUUGGGCCAGACCCAUGUAAUUUCGAAAUACUUCAAUAUAGGCUGUUUUUAGAGUCUGUAUGUGUGGGGAAACAAGAGUUAGGGUUGGUUUCGGACCCCUCCUCCAAGGGCCACGAAAUUCCCUCCUCUUCCUCCAUAUAUACAACCCUUAGGGCAUCGUUUAGACUUUGGGUUUUGUUUAGAUUAAAGUUCUCCAUAGUUGCGCGUACUUCGUUUGUGUUCAACGACCAGACAAAGGCGUCACAGAACCCCACCUUGAUCAAUAAAGCUUUCCUCUUAUAUUCGC